RNAcentral lists this ribosomal RNA (425 nucleotides) under uncultured bacterium. RNAcentral describes it as "partial 16S ribosomal RNA". It matches the Rfam family "Bacterial small subunit ribosomal RNA", at positions 354 to 796 of the family's 1533-position model. The record is from RNAcentral.
GUGGGGAAUCUUGCGCAAUGGGCGAAAGCCUGACGCAGCCAUGCCGCGUGAAUGAUGAAGGUCUUAGGAUUGUAAAAUUCUUUCACCGGGGACGAUAAUGACGGUACCCGGAGAAGAAGCCCCGGCUAACUUCGUGUCAGCAGCCGCGGUAAUACGAAGGGGGCUAGCGUUGCUCGGAAUUACUGGGCGUAAAGGGCGCGUAGGCGGACAGUUUAGUCAGAGGUGAAAGCCCAGGGCUCAACCUUGGAAUUGCCUUUGAUACUGGCUGUCUUGAGUACGGGAGAGGUGAGUGGAACUCCGAGUGUAGAGGUGAAAUUCGUAGAUAUUCGGAAGAACACCAGUGGCGAAGGCGACUCACUGGCCCGUUACUGACGCUGAGGCGCGAAAGCGUGGGGAGCAAACAGGAUUAGAUACCCCGGUAGUCC